AUGUGGACUGAUGAUCUGAACAUUACUGUUCAUAGUGCUACCUUCCACUAUAUAUUAGCUAAUAUAGUUCAUCCUGCUUCUGGGGUUCAAUUUUGUUUGAUUUGUAUUUAUGGAGACCUGUACCACAAGCAAACUAGUGCCAUUUGGAGUCAGAUUUCCACUUUUGUCUAUGAUAAUCUGGGUAUGCCCAUGAUGUGUAUGGGUGAUCUUAAUGACAUCUUGUAUGAUACUGAUGGUUGUAAUGGUAAUGUGAAUUACUUUCGUAUGAAUGCUUUUCGCUCCCUUGUUAAAAGUUGUGGUUUUUUGACAUAG
RNAcentral lists this ribosomal RNA (312 nucleotides) under Triticum aestivum (bread wheat). RNAcentral's name for it is "partial small subunit ribosomal RNA". The record is from RNAcentral. Lineage: Eukaryota; Viridiplantae; Streptophyta; Magnoliopsida; Poales; Poaceae.